ACCGGUUCUCAUCCUCCAGGUGAGCGAGGAUCUUCUCUAGCUCCCCUUUGUCAUCGGCCACCAUGGUAUUCUGGGCUUGCUGCCCAAAGUGUCAAGAAGAAUGCUCUUUGGAAUGGAAAGGGCAGAACCAAAAUGGCUAACAAGGAGUUCCUCCCCAAGAUCCGCCAGCCCGGUGAGGAGGCAGCACAGUGACCACCCAUUUUUCUUUAUUUUUCGACAAAUGAGGCAGCUUCAAGAGGUGAAACGAAUUUCCUGAGGUGAUAUAGGAAAUUCAUGGCUGGAGCAUCCAGGGGCCCGAUGGCACUGUUCAGAACUGGUUGCCUCACACAGGUCGGCCC
Phascolarctos cinereus (koala) is the source of this 338-nucleotide non-coding RNA. The record is from RefSeq and is a predicted model, not a curated record. NCBI's taxonomy places the organism in Eukaryota, Metazoa, Chordata, Mammalia, Diprotodontia, Phascolarctidae.